This 799-nucleotide ribosomal RNA is filed under the name Nocardioides sp. RNAcentral describes it as "bacterial SSU rRNA". It matches the Rfam family "Bacterial small subunit ribosomal RNA", at positions 65 to 873 of the family's 1533-position model. The record is from RNAcentral. Lineage: Bacteria; Bacillati; Actinomycetota; Actinomycetes; Propionibacteriales; Nocardioidaceae.
AGCGGUAAGGCCUCCUUCGGGGGGUACACGAGCGGCGAACGGGUGAGUAACACGUGAGUAAUCUGCCCAUGGCUCUGGGAUAAGCACUCGAAAGGGUGUCUAAUACCGGAUAUGACCACUCCAUGCAUGUGGUGGUGGUGGAAAGUUUUUUCGGCUAUGGAUGUGCUCGCGGCCUAUCAGCUUGUUGGUGGGGUAAUGGCCUACCAAGGCUUUGACGGGUAGCCGGCCUGAGAGGGUGACCGGUCACACUGGGACUGAGACACGGCCCAGACUCCUACGGGAGGCAGCAGUGGGGAAUAUUGGACAAUGGGCGGAAGCCUGAUCCAGCAACGCCGCGUGAGGGAUGACGGCCUUCGGGUUGUAAACCUCUUUCAGUACCGACGAAGCGGAAGUGACGGUAGGUACAGAAGAAGCACCGGCCAACUACGUGCCAGCAGCCGCGGUAAUACGUAGGGUGCGAGCGUUGUCCGGAAUUAUUGGGCGUAAAGGGCUCGUAGGCGGUUUGUCGCGUCGGGAGUGAAAACAUCACAGCUUAACUGGAUGCUUGCUUUCGAUACGGGCAGACUAGAGGCAUGCAGGGGAGAAUGGAAUUCCUGGUGUAGCGGUGAAAUGCGCAGAUAUCAGGAGGAACACCGGUGGCGAAGGCGGUUCUCUGGGCAUGUCCUGACGCUGAGGAGCGAAAGUGUGGGGAGCGAACAGGAUUAGAUACCCUGGUAGUCCACACCGUAAACGUUGGGCGCUAGGUGUGGGAUCCUUUCCACGGGUUCCGUGCCGUAGCUAACGCAUUAAGCGCCCCGCC